This 2492-nucleotide long non-coding RNA is filed under the name Homo sapiens (human). RNAcentral describes it as "HSALNT0187510". The record is from RNAcentral. Lineage: Eukaryota; Metazoa; Chordata; Mammalia; Primates; Hominidae.
ACUGGCGCAAGCUGCACCCUUCUGCAGAAGAAAAUUUGCCUUGCUGAGAAAUCUUGUGUUUGAGUGCUCAUUUUCUUUACGACUCUGAGCUUUUAUUUCUAACAGAACAAGGUGCCAGUGUCUGUUUCUGGGGAAGCCUCAGGAAGCUUCCAAUCAUGGUGGAAGGCAAGGAGAGCCAGUGUGUCACAUGGCGAGAGAUUUUAACAAUCAGAUUGCACAUUAACUAAUAGAGCAAGAACUCAUUCAUUACUGUAAGGAGGGCAUCAAGCCAUUCAUGAGGGAUCUGUCCCCAUGACCCAAACAUCUCCUACUAGGCCCCACUUCCAACACUGGGGGUCACAUUUCAAUUUGAGAUUUGGAGGGGACAAAUAUUCAAACUAUAUUAAGUAGUAUGGACUCAAUCCAAUAUGACUGCUGUCCUUAUGAGAAGCAGAGAAGAGACACGGAGACAGACCCAGGAAGAAUGCUAUGAGGCAAUGGAGACAGUGAUUAAAGUGCUGUAUCAACAAGCAUUUACUGGCAACACCAGAAGCUAAAAGUAAGGCAUGGAACAGAUUUCUUCCCUGGAGCCUUCAGAAGGAGCAUGGCCCUGCCAAGACCUUGAUUUUGGACCUCUGACUUCCAGAACUGUGAAGAAACUGAAGAAGAGAACUUAUGCUUCUAGAUGUUGCAGAAGCUUAAAUUCCGGUUGCCUGAGGCCUAGUCCAGGGGGUCGUGGCAGCAGCAGGCUGAGACCGAUAAGCCUCACCAGCCUCCUGAAGGGAAAAUGUUGGCUGGGUGCAGUGGCACACACCUGUAAUCCAAGCACUUUGGGAGGCCAAGGCAGGUUGAUUGCUUGAACCCAGGAGUAGGAGACCAGCCUGGGCAACAUAGUGAGACCCCUUCUCUACUAAAACCACAAAAAUAAGCUGGGGGUGGUGGCGCAUGUUUGUAGUCCCAGCUACUUGGGAGGCUGAGGUGGGAGGAUUACUUGAGCCUGGGAGGUUGAGGUUGCAGUGAGCUGUGCUCACACCACUGCACUCCAGCCUGGGUAACACAGCAACUCCUCAAAUAAAUAAAUUAAAAUAAAAAGGGAAAAAGUGAAAGGGGCCAUUCCAAACCUCCACCCCUUGGUUAUUCGGUUCAUGCGGUAUUUGGCUAUGCGGGAGACGUCACCAAAUAUUAGCUACUGGCUUAAGUCAUAUAUUCAUUCUGUAAGACAGCCUUCUAAUCCUCCAGCUAAUUUUCUCCAGCUAAUGUAGUAACUAAGCUGUUAGCAGGCAUUCUGCCAUUUUGUCAAGUCAGAUGCUUCUGGGUCCUUGGGGCUUGUGGUAGUGCUAGUAAAUUGUAUCAGUGUAAUUCUCUCUCAUCGUGUCCUUCACUGUAGACAGGUUGCUUAGUGAUUUGUAUGGAAUAUCACAGCAAUGAAUAGGCCUUCUGCUUAGUGCCAGCAGGACCAUUUCUGGCAGGCAAAUUCAUAUUUGGAAUGUUUCUAUUCCCAAAGGCACAAAUUGCUUCUCCUUCUGUGUAGAAAGGGUCCAAUGUAUCAAUCUACCACCAAGAGGCUCAUUGGUUCCCUGGAGAAUGGUGUGAUCAGUCAGGGGCCCAGCAUAGCCUUGACUCUUGGUGCAUGGGCAGAGAAGCCUCAGUGAGAAGUCCAUGCAGACCUCCUUUCUUGUUGCCAUGGCACUUUAUAAAUGGGCCUAUUAAGCACCAGGGUGGCUGGGGAAAAAGGCUGACAUCCAUAGGACUAGCUAUCUUACCCAUCUGAUUGAGAGCCUACUCUGCAGUAGAUGCCAAACAGGACAUUUUCUACAUAUGUUCCAGUAGUUAUUUACCAUUGCUUUUUGCCUGUCUGCACUAUGCCAGUUUGCAGAUGCUAUGAAGUACUACCUUUGCUUUUCAUUUAAUCAUGCCCCAGAAUUUGCUCUUGUAAAGGGUGUGGUGUAUUAUAUCACAGUAUAGAUAACUCAAAAGCUAUCUAUUUAUUUACUUAAUUUUUUAUUGAGGCAGUGUCCUACUAUGUUGUCCAGGCUGGUCUCAAGCUCCGAUGCUCAAGGGAUCCUCCCACUUCACCCUCCUGAGUAGCUGGGAUUUUAAAGCCUCUUAAAAGAAUUAUUCUCAUGUGCUUCUGGUAGCAAGAUAUGAGGUUGGCUUUAUCACUGUCUCUUAGGGUCAUCUCUAAGUGAGGCUAUGUAAUACUUCCAGCUGGAGCCAGCAUACUGUGCAGACCAAUUCAUAAACCAGGACUUGUCUUGGUUUAUUCCCAUUGGUUUAUAUCCAUUCGUGUCUUCUCUCAUGAAGCCUUAUAUGUGGACUGAGGGAAAGCCAGAGAAACAGAAGGAAGAGGUGUUAUGGAACCCCGAGCAAGCUACUUGAUUUUUUUUUUUUUUUUUUUUUUGAGAUGGAGUCUUGCUGUGUCGCCCACGCUGGAGUGCAGUGGCACGAUCUCGGCUCACUGCCACCUCCGCCUCCCAGGUUCACGCCAUUCUCCUGCCUCAGCCUCCCGAGUA